UGUAGCCCCCCCACUACCAAAACCUUGCCACACAAACCUAAUACAGACACACAAAAACCAAAUGGGUGAGAAGUUCUCCCUCUUCAGCUAGGCUUUUCAGCCAACUGCAUCCUUGUGUAGACCGGGUCCGAACAAUACCAGGAGUUUUGUUUCAUCGGGCAGCUGCUGCAGCCUUGCGCUCUCCUGGCAUUUGGCUCUCACUGGUGUUUGGUAGCAGGGCUGUGGGCAGAGGCGUGGACCUGUAGGCUGGCCGUCUGCACAGUGAAGCUGAGGAGCAUUUCUGGUAGAAAGGAAAGAUAAGUGCUGCAGCUGCCUAGUGCUGCAAUCUAGAUACCACAGCGUUGAUCCAGCCCCUGCAUCAGUUUGGUUUUGACUGUGCUGCUUUGUUUUUUGUGUUCUAGAUUAUCACUAGCUCAACAGACUGUACAGAUGUUGAUACGUUGACAAGCCUCUGGUCACCAGGAGCUUUUUUGGGUAUUUUGUGGGAGUAUAAUCUGAAAUUUAGCAUUUUAAGCCCCUCUUAUCCAGCUUAUGCGAUGUUAUUUUGCCAGAUCCUUUAGAGUAAGACUGAAGAGCAGAAAAUGGAGCCAGCAGGACAUUUUUUCCUAAAUUCAGACCUCCAUCUGAAACACCUAUUCUCAAGGGUUAAUGCAAAUGUGCAAAUUGCUGGAGUUCUAAUGAGCAUGUUUCCAGGUCUGGGAGAAGCACGAUCAUACUGACUGGAAGCCUUGCCAGCUGAGUAAGCUGGACCAUGUUCUUGACAUCCAUGUGUAGAACCCGUCGUACUUCAUGAGACACUCAAGAGUGGUGGCUGAGUGGGAUCACAGGAGAAAAAAAAAAAAAAAAGAAAUGCUUAUCAGUGUCAUCUCUAAGUCCAGGAUUGUGGUUCAGGACCAGUUAUUCCUAGAGUACGAAGAUUUCUCUGGAAAUUUCAAGCUCCAGCAGCCACAGAGAAACCCUUGCUGCACAAGACUACAAUGUGGGAAAAUCCAGAAUGUCCCAGGAUAGGGCAAAAAAGCUAAGUAAUUUACUGUCUAUUCAGAAUAAAAUGGAAAUGGAGUAAAAUAAAGUGGACCUGCCUCAGGUCACACAAGCAGUUUGGAUGCUGAGUUUAAACUCACAGAGAAAGAAGAAACUAGCCAUUUGUGGUAGAGGGUGAGGAGAAGGAACAGGGAGAAAAGGUCAGGUGAAGCAAGAGAGCAAAGAUUGAAAGGAUCCGCAAUGGCCUUUAUAUCCAUGUGGGAUUUACAGCAAGCCAGGGCUGCAGGAGUUCUUUAGACUCCAGAGAAGACCUGUAAAGAGCCACCAUUAGCUUGUGCUCAGCACAAACUCUAUCUCCCACUACAUUCCUGGUGGCACACAGGACAAAGAAUGGGAAUUCUGCAGAUGCACCUAGUCCUAUAACCUGUAAAUCAGUUUCUGUUUCACUUGUUACUUCUGUAAGCUGCCCUGGAUAUAUGUAUAUCUUUUUAAAGAAAAUUAUUUACAUCUUGUAUCUCUUGUGUUCAGAUCCUAUCACACAUAUUUUUAAGGUACUCUGAUACACCAUUGGCCAUUCCUUCAUCUCUUGAUGGAAAUCCCAUCUAAGGCAUGUCUUAAAACAUAAGUAGCAUACUGACACCAAAGAAAACAGUCUAUAAUAGUACCCUGUUUUCAUGGUUCAUUCUGCUCCUUUUAAGCUUUAACAUUAAUACUCCCAAAACUAAAGGGGAAAAAUCAUAUGGAAAAAGUGUUUCUUGACUGAGACGUGAUACAGAAAUCCACUCUCUCCAGAUGGAGGCAGCACUAGCUUGCAUUGCAGCUCAGUGGGCCGUUGCAGCCGGGCUGCAUAGAGUUGCCAGACCUGUUUGCUCAGUGGACUCUUCCACAAAUACCUCUGCUGCUUUAAAAAAUAGUGUGUCAAAUGCAACCAGCAAAUCCAGUGACCAGCUUUGCUGAGUGGACAAUCAUCACAUGUCAUCCAGCAUCUGUACCUUGCCUUAGAAGCCUCGUGGACACACACCGCGCCCCUCCUCUGCACCUACGAAGUCUGUUGUGGAAGCACCGUCCCUCUGGGCUGGCGUCAUCCGUUACAGCUUCGUGACCGAGGGGAGCAGCAGAUCUUCAGGCUCAGAGACAACCCCUGAGGGCCCGGAAAAGCUUCACCCCCCCCUCCCUUGUCUCUCUGCUCUGAGAAGUCUGGAGUUUCAUGUGCCCUGGUGCCGGGGAUUAUGCCUGGCCUACUUUCAUAUACGUGCUUCCAAAGUGGCUGUGACAGCCUCCGUGGGCUUGUAUUGCUGAGGCGGUGAAGCUGUUCUCUGCUACUGUACCUGGGGGCUCGGCGGUGGGCGGCAGGUGCCGCUGGUAGCUCUUGUGCGUCUGAGGGAGCGCAGCCGCUCGUCUCCAGCAGCCGUCUCUGCUGCGUUUGCCAUCCCGGUACACGGCGGCGGCGGCUCUUCCUGCCAGCAGCAGGGCAUGCCUCCGCCAUGCCAGGCUCCCCGUGGCCUCCGGCAUGCUCCCCGCACCAAGCUGCGGGCGGGUUCCCUGGGGAUCGCAGUGCCGAGCGUCCACAAGGGAUCCUGACCGAACCCUGCCCUUCCCCAAAGCUCUGUGGUUACGCUGCAUAGCCUAAAAGCGCUUUCCCCUGGCACAUGAAGUGGGAGCGCGGGGUAGCGAUGGUGGAGGUCGCAUGACUCCCAUCGUGUUUCUGAGGGAAUUCCAGUAAUCAGGCUCUAUUUUGUCUUCCUGUCUGCAGUUCUGGGAAGCGGGGGCAGGGGGAAGCCUAGUUUCUUGAGGGCCACUUGGGGCCAGAUUCAAGAUGCUGCUUUUAGGCAGCCGGGCUGGAUACUACUGCGCCUAAGAUGUAGGUGCUGCGCCCCAAAGACUGUGAUCCUUGUUUUCCAGCCUAGGCACCUGGUCUCCCUGUAGGAUGGUUAGGCACUUACAUGGCCUGAAGAGCUGUCCUGAGGUAGAGGUUUGGAAAUACAGCUUCUGGGGGUGGGGUGGGAUGCCUGAGCUGCUCCCACUGCUCCGGGGCGUAAGUGCCUGACAUAGAGCCAUGUACUAGGUGCCUUCACACAUGCAAGAUGUAUAGCACUUCUCCCACGUUCCCGGGGGGGAGCUAGAAGGCUGUUCUGCACCUCCCACUGGUGCCUGCUUCUGGGAGCUGUGACAGAAACCGUGAGAUCGAUAGCAAAAGAGCAGCGCAAGUGAAAUGCUUGCUUCAGAUGCCGAGGGUGGGCGCCGGGCAGGGCAAAGCCAGGGGAGGAUGGUGGGCACUGAUGCAAGUGCUCUGUGCAGCUUACGGUGCUGCUCAGCCGUGUAGCUGCGGUUGUGGCCUUCAUGCCUGUGUAAGUCUACGUACUGUUUUAAUUAAUUUAUUUUAAGCAGGCGGUGGUUGUUUGGAAGGACUUCCAACCAUGUCUAAAAGCAUACAGCAGGGAGCCAAGAAACCUGUUUAUUAAAAAAAAUAGCCCCGGGUCAGGAUGGCUGGCAUCUGUGCCACCACCGAGCUCGGGCACCAGGCUGGACUGUCUCUCUCUGCGUCCUUCUCCCCUCACCGAGGACCCGCAUCGCUGCGAGGUGAGGAGGGAAAGCCCGGGGAAGCAGCCGUGCUGUGGCUGCCCGAGAGGCUGCUGUAACCUGCGUGGUCCUGCCUGUCCGGCUGCAGUUCUACUGCACGCUGAUCAGUCUGGGAUGGAGCAGCCGCCUGUCCGGGAGCACCGUAUCAUUAGGAGCCUAAACUGUGAAAAUGGCUGCGUUAUUUAAAAGAGGCUCACUAGGGCUUUCAGGGCCUGUGGUGUAGCUACAUCUCGACAUACCUGGUCUGUCCUCAACCUCCUUGGUCUUUUGGAUGCCACCAGUCACACCCCCCAGUGCCCUUUCUCCUCUCUACAGCUCUGCCAUGCUUUCUGCUGCUGGUUGUCCUCCUGGUGUCAGGGCUGUUUAUUCAAGGCUUUAUUUAGCCUUUUGUUACUGCUGUUGUGUCUGGAGAGGACUCCAGGGCGCACUUUCUUGUAAAUGACUCCUCUUUUUACAGUCCAUAAAUGUAAAGCGAGCUCACCUGUUGUGCCGAUCUUCACAGUACCAAGAAAUACUGGAGUUCUUGAGUUUCUUUCCAACUCUUUCAAGAUGGAAAACUCCUGGGAUAGUUUUUAUGUUUCAUGGUUGACUAUAAAUAGCUGUCACAUAGCUGUCAUUUAUAUUCCCUGCAGGAGACUUAAGAAAGGGAAUUGAGGCAUCAAACUGCAGCGGUGCAUGAUUUCUGUGACUCAGAGCUUUCGUGUGGACUUAAAUGCCUUUGAUUUCCAUCUGUGCCAUGGACUAGGGUCAGCCUUGCCUGUCAGGAGGUGUUGGGUCUGUGCCUGUAGGCACAGCCUGUGCAACCCGCAGAGGUGAGCUGCAGGGAUGCGGGGUGCCAGGAAGAUUACAGCGAGCGACCAUUCCCCUGCACAUGGCCCGACUGCCUUAAAAAGUUCUCCCGCUCCGACGAGCUCACCCGGCACUACCGAACCCACACCGGCGAGAAACAGUUUCGGUGCCCCCUCUGCGAGAAGCGGUUCAUGCGGAGCGACCACCUGACGAAGCACGCCCGCCGCCACACCGAGUUUCACCCCAGCAUGAUCAAGCGAUCCAAAAAGUGCAGCUCCAGCAGCUCCUUGUGAAGGCAGGGCUGGCCCGGGGCGGGGAGAGGGGGGGAGGCGAGCUGCGGCGAGGAUGCAGGCAGUGGUGCCGGUUGCCCUCACCGUCCGAAAGCACACAUAGCCAACAU
Molecule: long non-coding RNA, 4750 nt
Organism: Haliaeetus leucocephalus (bald eagle)
Lineage: Eukaryota; Metazoa; Chordata; Aves; Accipitriformes; Accipitridae
Exons: 4
Source: RefSeq, a predicted model, not a curated record